CAAAGGUUACACCGGCAUUAAGCCCAAAAACCCCAUCCCCUAAAAUUCAACCACCACCACAUCCACCCAAAAAAGCACCUGUUUCUCUACCACCAUUAUCUAUACCACCUGUUUCACUUCCACCAUUACCAUUACCACCAGCUUCUAAACCACCAAAGGUAUCCCCAGCACCUGCAAAGGUUCCAAAAGCACCAGCACCGGCCAAAGAAGCACCAGCACCAGCACCUACACACAAAAAGAAAGCACCAGCACCCGCACCAGACAAAGAAACACCGGCACCAGCACCUACACACAAAAAGAAGAAAGCACCAAAAUCAUCACCUGUUCCUUCCCCAGCAAUUCUCCCACCAUCACCUGCACCAACACCUGCAAUAGACACACCAUCAUCAGCACCAGCACCAUCGCCUGAAGAUGAUGCGCCAGAACCACCGCCACCCCACAAGCACAAGAGAAGAAAACACAAGCAUAGUAAGCAUAAGAAACAUCACGCACUAGCUCUAGCACCAGAGCCUACAAGUUCAAGUUCAACAAUCAUUAGGAGGAGUCCCCCAGCACCACUGGCUGAUGAUAAUACUACAAUGAGUUC
This 586-nucleotide long non-coding RNA is filed under the name Medicago truncatula (barrel medic). RNAcentral describes it as "long non-coding RNA (MTRU_LNC006403)". Lineage: Eukaryota; Viridiplantae; Streptophyta; Magnoliopsida; Fabales; Fabaceae. The record is from RNAcentral.